GACGAACGCUGGCGGCGUGCCUAAUACAUGCAAGUCGAACGCAUUUUCUUUCACCGUAGCUUGCUACACCGAAAGAAAAUGAGUGGCGAACGGGUGAGUAACACGUGGGUAACCUGCCCAUCAGCGGGGGAUAACACUUGGAAACAGGUGCUAAUACCGCAUAAUUCCAUUUACCGCAUGGUAGAUGGGUGAAAGGCGCUUUUGCGUCACUGAUGGAUGGACCCGCGGUGCAUUAGCUAGUUGGUGGGGUAACGGCCUACCAAGGCUGCGAUGCAUAGCCGACCUGAGAGGGUGAUCGGCCACACUGGGACUGAGACACGGCCCAGACUCCUACGGGAGGCAGCAGGAGGGAAUCUUCGGCAAUGGACGCAAGUCUGACCGAGCAACGCCGCGUGAGUGAAGAAGGUUGUCGGAUCGUAAAACUCUGUUGUUAGAGAAGAACAAGGAUGAGAGUGGAAAGUUCAUCCCUUGACGGUAUCUAACCAGAAAGCCACGGCUAACUACGUG
This 507-nucleotide ribosomal RNA is filed under the name uncultured bacterium. RNAcentral's name for it is "partial 16S ribosomal RNA". It matches the Rfam family "Bacterial small subunit ribosomal RNA", at positions 28 to 507 of the family's 1533-position model. The record is from RNAcentral.